This is a non-coding RNA of Eleginops maclovinus (Patagonian blennie), 366 nucleotides long. Lineage: Eukaryota; Metazoa; Chordata; Actinopteri; Perciformes; Eleginopidae. The record is from the annotation of a RefSeq genome assembly.
AUGGCUCACAGAAGGCUAACCCUCUUGUUGGUUGUUCUGUUUGUUUUGUCUGUCGCUGAAAGUCAGACCAUAACAGAGUCUGAACCAGCAGUUAAGAAACCCGGAGAAUCUCACAGACUGACCUGCACAACAUCUGGAUUCAACUUUGGAGGCUCAGUGUGGAACUGGAUCAGACAGGCUCCUGGAAAAGGACUGGAGUGGAUCGCUUUUAUACACACUCAGAGUACUCCUAUCUAUUACUCUGAGUCAGUCAAAGGAAGAUUCAGUAUCUCCAGAGAUGACUCCAGCAGUAAAGUGUAUCUGCAGAUGAACAGUCUGAAGGCCGAGGACACAGCAGUGUAUUACUGUGCUAAAGAGACACAGUGA